GGGUCAGUAGGUUGGUCGUGCCACCGGUACGUACUGGUCUCACUGAUUCCUCCUUCCUGAAGAACCGUAAUGCCAUUAAUUUGGUGUUGCGGGGAAACAGGACUGUUACUUUGAAAAAAUUAGAGUGUUUAAAGCAAGCUAACGCUUGAAUACAUUAGCAUGGAAUAAUGAAGUAGGACGAUCGAUCCUAUUUUGUCGGUUUCUAGGAUUGACGUA
RNAcentral lists this ribosomal RNA (216 nucleotides) under Glomeromycotina sp. Its description in RNAcentral is "partial small subunit ribosomal RNA". The stretch from base 40 to 216 matches the Rfam family "Eukaryotic small subunit ribosomal RNA", at positions 686 to 864 of the family's 1831-position model. The record is from RNAcentral. Lineage: Eukaryota; Fungi; Glomeromycota.